RNAcentral lists this ribosomal RNA (491 nucleotides) under uncultured bacterium. RNAcentral describes it as "partial 16S ribosomal RNA". It matches the Rfam family "Bacterial small subunit ribosomal RNA", at positions 29 to 506 of the family's 1533-position model. The record is from RNAcentral.
AGUGAACGCUGGCGGUAGGCCUAACACAUGCAAGUCGAACGGCAGCACAGUAAGGGCUUGCUCUUACGGGUGGCGAGUGGCGGACGGGUGAGGAAUACAUCGGAAUCUACUUUUUCGUGGGGGAUAACGUAGGGAAACUUACGCUAAUACCGCAUACGACCUACGGGUGAAAGCAGGGGAUCUUCGGACCUUGCGCGAUUGAAUGAGCCGAUGUCGGAUUAGCUAGUUGGCGGGGUAAAGGCCCACCAAGGCGACGAUCCGUAGCUGGUCUGAGAGGAUGAUCAGCCACACUGGAACUGAGACACGGUCCAGCCUCCUACGGGAGGCAGCAGUGGGGAAUAUUGGACAAUGGGCGCAAGCCUGAUCCAGACAUACCGCGUGGGUGAAGAAGGCCUUCGGGUUGUAAAGCCCUUUUGUUGGGAAAGAAAAGCAGCAGGUUAAUACCCCGCUGUUCUGACGGUACCCAAAGAAUAAGCACCGGCUAACUUCGU